UCAGCGCCUCCAUUCCUAACCACUUCAAAGAUCGAUGUUUUCUCUUCGGUAUAAAAAGAAAUUCCGCCUCCUUAUCAUAUGGAUCAAUCUUGAAUUCUUCUCCUCACUUCGUUGUUUAUCCUCUAAAUAAGAUAGAAUGUGCUCAUUACUUCUCGAUCUUGUAUCAAGGAACGAAGCUUAGAUAUUAGGAUGUUACUCUUAACUCCUUCUCUUGUGGGUUGUACCGGCUCCCGAUCUCAACAGUCCCUCUCCCUUCUUCUCACACAAGAUGUGUCACACAACCAAGGUACUAGGUAACACUAUCCUUCAAGGUAUAAACAAGAGAAAUCAUCUAGGUCUAUGCCAGAAAUUGUACUUGCUACUUCUUGGUUCUCAACUCAUUUAUUAAUUACCAGGCCUCUCAAAUUCGGGGCCCUAAGGCACAUGUCUUCUUUUAACAUUGUCGAGCCACCCUUGAAUGUCCGAAAGAGCAGCUCUAUUGUUGUUGUAGCUGUUGAGCCAAUAAAAGUGUUAAAGAAUCGAUCUUAUAAUGCUUCAGAUAGAAAGGUGAUAGGGAUGCACCAAAUGGAAGAAAUUGAGUUCAGAAGAACUUCGAAUAAGUACAUCAAUGAUUGCGAAACCUCCAAGAUUUGGUUUUGAAUGGGUUAAAGAAAAAGGGUUUCGAGCUUUACCCGAUUGGGAGGAAGUUUAAGCGGAAUGGCUAUAAUUUUGUUCGAAGACCUCCUGCAUGCAGUGAAGCCGAUUUCAUUCGCUGGGAAAAUUUGCAUGAUGUGUCACUCCAUCAAGGUAACUCUAUCCUUCAAGGCAUAAACAGAAGAAAUCAUCUCGACUUUUUGCCUAUGCCAGAAACAGUACUUGACUCUUCAUGGUUCUCAACUCACUUUGUUGAUGACUAGUUCUAGGAGUUGCGCAGCAGUUGAGUUAAGAAUUCUCUGGUCUCCGUCACCUUUCACCGGUCUCCUUCAGGUUCAUGGUGAAAUUGCUCCUGUUUCCUUCAUCCUCAUGUUAAAGGUAUGGCAGGAGGCAGAUGUCGUGGAAAAUCUCAGGUAGGAGUAAUCCUGCUGGUCGUGUAAGCAUGCCAUCUAUUCCUAAGCACACUAGAUUUUCUCCUCGAAAAGGUGGUACCCCAACCAAUAUUGUAAUGUCAACUCAGAGUAUUAGCCCAAUCAUCUCUGAGACACCUCCUGUUACACAAAACGAGAGUAACUAAACAGGUAUUGCUGGCGGUAGAGGUCUCGGAAAAUCCUCAGCUAUGAAUAAUUCUGCUAUUCGUGUAAACAUGCCAACUAUUCCCAAGCCCACUACAGUUUCUCCUCAACAAGGUGGUACACCGAUCAAUAUUGAAACGUCAACUCACAGUACUAUCCCAACAAUCUGCGAGACACCUACAACUACACUAAAUGACAUUAACUUAAUAGGGUCAAGGUCUUUCUACCCAUAGCAAUGUUCCAACAGGUCAUACAAAUACAGUUGGUGAAGGCGAGUCCAACAGUAGCCAUCCAAGGACCCUUGUCUUUCUAUCUUCUUCAGGGUUAGUCCAUUCUUUUAAUUUUAUUCCUACUUGUUGUGUUGAUGAAACUUCAUAUCUUUUAAUUCUGAUUUAUGAUAGCCCUCCCAAUAACCUCUUCUAAUUUAUACAUACUGGAACUUUCUCAAAUAUUCUCUAGUUUCAUAUCAAAAUAUUUCUAAAGUGUGAUUGAUCCCAAUGUAAUCAAUUGGAAAGGUGUUUCAAAUGAUGUAAGAAAUGGUUAUUUUUGAGAAUUUAAGGUAUAAGUUUUCAUCGUAAGUGAUUUUAGAAAGUAUAUUCACGUAUAUAGAUAGGACAUUAAUGUACUACUUUCGAAGCUUGUUUCAGAAAAAGUUCUGCUGGGAUGUUUCCAUAAGUGAAAACAAAGUCAAAACAAUGGAUGGUUAAGGAAUCAUUGAACUAUAGGAAUUUCAUUUCUAAAAUUAAAAAAGGAGGAGUUAGGCUAGGUUACGUACCAGAAGAUGUAUGGGAAAGAUGGAGGGAGCAUUGGGGAAGUGUGGAGUCUAUUAGGAAAUCAGAAAUUAAUUCGCAAAAUUGUUGUGGCGGUCGUGAAACUGCUAUGGGGACUUACACUGGUGGCUCUAUUUCUAUAAGAGAACAUCGCAAAAACUUGCUAUUGAAAAAGGUCGAGAUCCCACGCCAAGUGAGUUAUAUCUUCAUGUUCAUACACAUGCACAUGAUGAAAAACAUUUGUUGGUGAAACAAUCGAUUACUCCAUCCGGCAAUCCAUCGUCUGCGGCGCCCAUGCCUCCUACUAGUAAUGUGGACAAGUUACAGGUUGCUUGAUGCAGCCAGUUGCACGGGGAAUUGGGUAUUUAGUUCACUACAAGAGCAACGGGAGAUGUAUGUAUAAAGAAUCUGAGAAGCUGAAGAAUUGCAAAGGUUAGGUGCAUCGAAGAACAUGUGACUCACGGAGAAACAUAAAGGACAUUUCACCCAAUGGCGAGGCUUGGUUAAGGAAUUUUGAUAUCACUAUUGCAGAUGUGGCAGCUGUAAUGUAAUGAGGUAGAAUUGAGUUGAAAGAUAUGGUUGGGUGUCCAAACUUUAAAUCACAUUACUCCCUGAACAUGAAAGCUAAAAAAACUUUAGGGGAGUUUAUUGAUCAUCGAAAUAAAAGCACCAAUCCUAAUGCUUUAUCCUAUGAUCAUCCAUUUAAAAGUGAGGUUAUACCUAGUUAUAGUGAUGAGGUGUUUUACUCCAGAAAAUUAAGAGGAAGAGCUCAUGGCAGUGUUGAGAGAUGACGGGGUCACUAUGAUUGGGACAUCUGGUCUGGGCGGUGUUCGUAAGACAACACUGCCUGAGAAAAUGAGACAAAAGGCAAAACAAGAAACGUUAUUCAAUGAUGUAGUCAUGGUAACUGUUAAUCAACAACCCGAGAUGAAAAGAAUCCAGGUGAGAUCGCAGGCGAAGUCGGGCUAACAUUAGUGUUGAAUGCCUUGAAUCGGACCCUUAAUUAUCUGUCAAUUCUGUAUUUUGGGCCCAAGCCUGUUAGGGUGUAGCUUAGCACUAUAUAUAGACGC
Molecule: long non-coding RNA, 3048 nt
Organism: Solanum pennellii
Lineage: Eukaryota; Viridiplantae; Streptophyta; Magnoliopsida; Solanales; Solanaceae
Exons: 16
Source: RefSeq, a predicted model, not a curated record